RNAcentral lists this ribosomal RNA (468 nucleotides) under uncultured bacterium. RNAcentral's name for it is "partial 16S ribosomal RNA". It matches the Rfam family "Bacterial small subunit ribosomal RNA", at positions 28 to 507 of the family's 1533-position model. The record is from RNAcentral.
GACGAACGCUGGCGGCGUGCUUAACACAUGCAAGUCGAACGGAAAGGCCCUGCUUUUGUGGGGUGCUCGAGUGGCGAACGGGUGGGUAACAAGUGUGCAACCUGCCCUUGACUUUGGGAUAACUUCAGGAAACUGGGGCUAAUCCCGGAUAGGAGCUCCUGCUGCAUGGUGGGCGUUGGAUAGUUUCGGCGGUCGGGGAUGGAUUCGCGGGUUAUAGGCUUGUUGGUGGGGUAGUGGCUUACCAAGGCUUUGAAGGGUAGCCGGCUUGUGAGGGUGACCGGCCACAUUAGGACUGAGAGACGGCCCAGACUCCAACGGGAGGCAGCAGUGGGGAAUAUUGCACAAUGGGCGGGAGCCUGAUGCAGCAACGCCGCGUGCGGGAUGACGGCCUUCUGGGUGUAAACCGCUUUCGCCUGUGACGAAGCGUGAGUGACGGUAAUGGGUAAAGAAGCACCGGCUAACUACGUG